This 71-nucleotide transfer RNA is filed under the name Ovis aries (sheep). It matches the Rfam family "tRNA". Rfam says of the family: Transfer RNA (tRNA) molecules are approximately 80 nucleotides in length. Their secondary structure includes four short double-helical elements and three loops (D, anti-codon, and T loops). Further hydrogen bonds mediate the characteristic L-shaped molecular structure. tRNAs have two regions of fundamental functional importance: the anti-codon, which is responsible for specific mRNA codon recognition, and the 3' end, to which the tRNAs corresponding amino acid is attached (by aminoacyl-tRNA synthetases). tRNAs cope with the degeneracy of the genetic code in two manners: having more than one tRNA (with a specific anti-codon) for a particular amino acid; and 'wobble' base-pairing, i.e. permitting non-standard base-pairing at the 3rd anti-codon position. Lineage: Eukaryota; Metazoa; Chordata; Mammalia; Artiodactyla; Bovidae. The record is from Rfam by way of RNAcentral.
UCCUAGGUAGCUCAGUGGUAAAGAAUCUGUCUGCAAUGCAGGAGACAUGGGUUCAAUCCCUGAGCUGGGAA